RNAcentral lists this ribosomal RNA (791 nucleotides) under uncultured archaeon. Its description in RNAcentral is "bacterial SSU rRNA". It matches the Rfam family "Archaeal small subunit ribosomal RNA", at positions 85 to 879 of the family's 1478-position model. The record is from RNAcentral.
ACAGCUCAGUAACACGUAGGUAACCUACCCUCAGGACUGAGAUAACCCCGGGAAACUGGGGCUAAUAUUAGAUAGAUAAAAGGUACUGGAAUGUUCUUUUAUCCAAAGCUUUUGCGCCUGAGGAUGGGCCUGCGUCCGAUUAGGUUGUUGGUGGGGUAAUGGCCCACCAAGCCUGCGAUCGGUACGGGCAGUGAGAGCUGAAGCCCGGAGUUGGGGACUGAGACAAGGCCCCAGGCCUUACGGGGCGCAGCAGGCGCGAAACCUCUGCAAUGCGGGAAACCGUGACAGGGGGAUCCCAAGUGCUCAUGCAUUGCAUGGGCUGUUCUUUGGUCUAAGUAACCAGAGGAGUAAGGGCUGGGCAAGACCGGUGCCAGCCGCCGCGGUAAUACCGGCAGCUCAAGUGGUAGCCGCGAUUAUUGGGCCUAAAGCGUUCGUAGCCGGAUAAGUAAGUCUUUGGUUAAAUCCUGCAACUCAACUGUGGGAAAUCUAGGGAUACUGCUUGUCUUGAGACCGGGAGAGGUUAGAGGUACUCCUAGGGUAGGGGUGAAAUCCUGUAAUCCUAGGGGGACCACCUGUGGCGAAGGCGUCUAACUGGAACGGGUCUGACGGUGAGGGACGAAACCUAGGGGAGCGAGCCGGAUUAGAUACCCGGGUAGUCCUAGGCGUAAAUGAUGCGAGUUAAGUGUGGGGGCAUCUACGAGAUGGCCCUGUGCUGUAGGGUAGCCGUUAAACUCGCCGCCUGGGGAGUACGGUCGCAAGGCUGAAACUUAAAGGAAUUGGCGGGGGAGCAC